Cinara cedri is the source of this 235-nucleotide non-coding RNA. NCBI's taxonomy places the organism in Eukaryota, Metazoa, Arthropoda, Insecta, Hemiptera, Aphididae. The record is from the annotation of a GenBank genome assembly.
AUUUUCUAAAUGUUUUUUAUUACACCUUAUAGCUUUUAGAUCUGGAAAAAGAUGUCAACAUAUUUAAAAAAUGAUACAAACUUGAGACUCUGUAGUACAGUGAUUUUCAUAUUCGUAUAGCUACCUUGCAGUAAAAAAUAUUGCUGUUAGAUUCUCAAUUUUGCUAUUUUUUAACCACUGUUUGUGAUACACCUAUUAGGAAUGAUUGUGUAUAAGAAAAUAUUGAACAAUUUUU